AUGGGCAGAUACCUUAUUGGUCCACAGAUUGCCUUAGCACGUGUUUACUACUCGGAGACUGGCAUAUGGGGUGACCUCAUCUCAACACCGACUCCAUGUCAGCUUCAUGAUACUGGUACACAUGGGUCAUUAGUUGGUAAUGCACUUUACUGGUCGUGCGAUGAUUACAUUUUUCAGUUUGAUUUGGAAGGUCAGAGCCUAGCUUUGAUCAAAGCUCCUCCUCCUCGCACUAUAAAUGAUGCCCGUGACUGCUUUGACAUGUGUGAGGUCAUCGAGAUCAUGGAUGGCGCAUUUGGUCUUGCCAUAUUGUCUCACUAUUACUAUAACAUUCAAAUGUGGCAAAGGAAGGUUAAUUGUCAGGGUGUUGCCAAAUGGGUCCUCUGGAAGACCAUUGAUAUGCAUAACAUUCAUGGAAUCCCCCAUGGGUUUGAAGGAGAGAGUCCAGAGUUAUGUAGACUGAGAUAUGUUGAGGAUACUGAUGAUAUAUUUCUCCAUGUGGGCACCAGUGUCUAUGUGGUUCAACUUAAGUCAAUGCAAUCUAAGAAACUUUGUGAAGCCCAUUAUGUUAAUUGA
RNAcentral lists this ribosomal RNA (573 nucleotides) under Triticum aestivum (bread wheat). RNAcentral's name for it is "partial small subunit ribosomal RNA". Lineage: Eukaryota; Viridiplantae; Streptophyta; Magnoliopsida; Poales; Poaceae. The record is from RNAcentral.